GUCAGAUUGGCCGAGCGGUUUAAGGCGCUGGACUUAAGUUCUGGUUCCCACAAAGGGAGCGUGGGUUCGAACCCCACAUCUGACA
This 85-nucleotide transfer RNA is filed under the name Blattella germanica (German cockroach). RNAcentral describes it as "tRNA-Leu (TAA) (tRNA-Leu-TAA-26-1)". It matches the Rfam family "tRNA". From Rfam's summary of the family: Transfer RNA (tRNA) molecules are approximately 80 nucleotides in length. Lineage: Eukaryota; Metazoa; Arthropoda; Insecta; Blattodea; Blattellidae. The record is from RNAcentral.